Molecule: long non-coding RNA, 545 nt
Filed under: Numida meleagris (helmeted guineafowl)
Lineage: Eukaryota; Metazoa; Chordata; Aves; Galliformes; Numididae
Description: lncRNA (ENSNMEG00000000953.1)
Source: RNAcentral
GUGGGGCAGGGUGUCCGGGUUAUGGGUCCCUAUGGGGCAGGGUGUCCGGGUUUAGGUCCCUAUGGGGCUGGGUGCGGAUCUAUGGGGCAGAGUGUCCGGGUUAUGGGUUCCUAUGGGGCUGGGUGUGGAUCUAUGGGGCAGAGUGUCUGGGUUAUGGGUCCCUAUGGGGCUGGGCGCGGAUCUAUGGGGCAGAGUGUCCGGGUGCGGAUCUAUGGGGCACGAGGCCACGCCCCCCUGUCCCCCCCCAGAGCUGGAGGCGGCGGUUGUGGGGCUGCUGCGGGAGCUGUGGGGGCGCAGCCCCAUAGAAGUGGGGCGGGGGCUGGAGCGGCUGCCCCAUAGCGACCGCGUGCGGCUGCGGAACGCCAUGGUGAGACCCACAGCGACCCACAAGUGCCCCAUAACUGCCCCAUAGAGACCCACAGUGACCCCUAAGUGCCCCAUAGCUGCCCCAUAGAGACCCAUAGUGACCCCUAAGUGCCCCAUAACUGCCCCAUAGAGACCCACAGUGACCCCUAAGUGCCCCCUAACUGCCCCAUAGAGACCCA